This 352-nucleotide transfer-messenger RNA is filed under the name Eubacteriales bacterium. It matches the Rfam family "transfer-messenger RNA". Rfam says of the family: Bacterial tmRNA, also known as 10Sa RNA or SsrA, is named for its dual tRNA and mRNA-like properties. The record is from RNAcentral. Lineage: Bacteria; Bacillati; Bacillota; Clostridia; Eubacteriales.
GGGGGUGUACUGGUUUCGACGGGAAUGGGCGGGGACACUGUAAGCGAGCUGCGGCCCCCUGAACCGCAUAACAACAGGGAAAUUAAAAGUAACUGACAACAAUCAGAAACUUGCUUUCGCGGCAUAAGCCGUGAACGUCGUCCUCAGGUUCUCACCGCUUGAGAAGACGGCGCCAGUUAGGUGAGGAACGGAUACGCCAAAGCUUUGCGGCACUAUCUGAAUUAUGAAGCUACCGAUAUAGUUUGCCUGCCUGCCGGCAUGCUGUAAAGGGAAAUUAAAUAGACAGGCUGCGCUCGGAGAAAACGGUGUACCGCGUUUUCGGACAGGGGUUCAAUUCCCCUCACUUCCACCA